ACCCAGGUGGCUUAAUGGUAAAGAAUCCACCUGCAAUGCAGGAGACCCAGGUUCGAUCCCUGGGUUGGGAA
RNAcentral lists this transfer RNA (71 nucleotides) under Ovis aries (sheep). It matches the Rfam family "tRNA". Rfam says of the family: Transfer RNA (tRNA) molecules are approximately 80 nucleotides in length. Lineage: Eukaryota; Metazoa; Chordata; Mammalia; Artiodactyla; Bovidae. The record is from Rfam by way of RNAcentral.